UUUUUUUUUUUUUUUUUUUUGUACGGAACAAAAGGAAUUCUAAUGAAAAUAUUUAGAAUGCAAGAUAUCUGAAUGAUAUUUUCUUAAAUCUCAAAAAACUUAAUGGGAUCUAAGAUAAGAAUAACAUAUAGAAAAUUACCCCCAAAAAAAAUUAGCUGAAUGGGCUUCAGCAUCUUAGAAUAAAAUUAAUGUUAAUUUAUGAAUAAAAUCCCUAACACAUUUGUUAUUCCUUAACACAUGACUUUAGGAUACUAGAUCAUAUCGUAACGCUCUUCCUGUGUUAUUCCGGGUUUGAAAGGCCUUUCGAACAUCCCUGAAACAUACAGGGCAAGUUCCAUAAAUGUCUUUAAUUUUCUCCCUAGUUGCUACUUAAUUAAAAUUCUAUGUUGGAAACACUAUGAUUGAGGGUCAAGGUGUGUGACAUAUAACUUUUAAGAUUAACUUCUUAUGAUUGAUAGUGUACUGAUUUUUUUUUUACACUAGAUAUAUUCCACAUAUCCAUGAUAUGAAUUUUAAAUUUGAAUUUAUAUUAUGUAGCAAUGAUCUAAAUCUGCUAGUAUAUAAAAAAAAAAUACCAUUGACAGUAUAUAAAAAACUUACUCUAAAUUUUACUCAAGCCCUCAUUAGUUCCCCUUGAUCCAGUUGGAGCCUUCCUUAGAUAGGUUAGAGUAGGAGUAGGAGUAAUGUAAAAAUUGCCAAUUGAUCAAAAAAACAUUAUUUUUUUUACUCAAGUAUAAAAUCAUCUUUUUACACCUGUAUAGAAAAGAUUAAUCAUUGAUUAAAAAAAAUCCAAGACUGCAUGAUUCAAUAGGGGGAUGAACUUGCAAUUCAUGGCUUUUUACAUAUAUGCCUUCACUUCCUGGACGGGUGGCAACUUCAAUGUGGCUCUUUGCAAAAUAGCUUGUUUUAUUUCUUUCUUAAUUCUUGCUCAAUUUGGCAUUUUCUCUUUUCCUGUCUUUAGUAUGACAAGCUCAUUUUGAUGAACAUAGUAGACAUUUUCUGCAUCUCGAGUCUCUUCUUCCUUCAGCCUUGACCUAUCACAGCGUUUGCUAGGUGGACAUCCAUCCGAGAACUGCCAUUAUCAAUUAGCUGCUGAAACCUUUUGCACAAACAAUGCAGCAUCUGUCUUGGCUGCAACUAUUUGAUAAUGAGCUUAAGGUCAAUCGGCAACAGUAAUCAGGUGUAAAUGAUAAAUUGUACAAUACUAAGUAAACUGUGAUUGCAUAUCAUCUAUGUCAAGAACUUGGUUUUAGGUGGGCAUAAUAAUUAAUACAGCAGUUAAAAUGGUCUUCCCAAAUGUUUAUUAAACACCAUGAAUUAGGAAACGCAUUAUAGAACAUAAAUCACAUUCCCAAGUACAUGAUCCAAUUUGCUAAAAAUAUAAAAGGAACGAAAGAACUUAAAGUGUCAAGAUUGGAACAAAAUCAGCUUUCAAGGCUCCAAUAACUACUCAAAGAAGAAUAGGCUAAGCUGUAUCGAUAUCUGCCAAUCCUAUUUGCAGCAUUCUCUCAAUCAUUCUUGCCGCUGCUGCCAUUUAUUUCCUUGUUAAACGGUGGGAGAGGAUUAACAAGGAAUGAUUUCAAAUGUCUGUAAAGCUCCUUGGACGUCUCUAUAUUGAUUGCAUACCCUGCGUUCUUUAUUAUUAUCAGUUCUGAAUAUUGAGGCUGUUGAAGUUCGCAUUGUCAAUGCCAAAAAUUUCAACCAAAGGUGAGAAUUCAUUAUAGUGAAGGCAACUUCUUUAACUGCCCUAAACUUGGGACAGAAAGGUUUGAUGUAUCACAUGAGCGUUCUUCCAUGCAAGUUAGACGCAACAAAGCUGGUCAAAUUAAGUUUCUAGCAAUAAUUAAGAUAAAGAACCAUGAUUUAAAAUUUAUACAAUAAUUAGAAAAAAGGUAAGGAAAGGUCUGUGAAAAUAGAUGAGAUGUCAAUAUCUUUGUUGCAACAGUAAAUUUGUUAAAAAUAACCCAUCAUCCUCCCCUCUUCCCUCCUUUGCGCUGCAACCACUAUCUCCCCCCCUUCUCCUCUCUCCUCUGUCCCCCUCCUCUCCCUCCCCCUCCCUCUUCAUCUCUCUUUUCCUCCCCUCCCUUCCAUCCUCCCUCCACCCUCUUCCCCUCUCCUCUCUUCUGCUCCCUUCCCCUGCCCCCCACCGUGAAGCUAGGAAAGGCGGUUGGUGGAGGGUGGAGAAAAGGAGUGGAGGGGAAUGGUGAGAGAAGGGACGGGUGAAUGGGGAGGGAGGAAGGAAGGGAGGCUAGUAAGAGGUAGAGGGAGGAGGAAGAUGGAUGGGAGGAAGAGGAAGAAAAGGGUGAGAGGAGGGGAGAGGUGGCGGUGAAGAAGGAAGGAGAAAAGAGGUGGUGGAUGGUGGUGCAUAGUGGGUGAAAAAAGAAAAAUUGGUAGAAUUUGUUACUUGUUAUUUUUCUUAUUUUUAUAAGUUAUAUUUGAUAUUGUGUGCUUUUUGAAUUAUUUUUGGAGUUUGUUAUUAUACACCCCACAAAAAAACAAAACAAUUUGUAAGAAAAACACUCAAUUCCAGCAAAGCCAAUACAUUUUAGCAUGAGAUCUUGGAUCCAUUUUCAAGUUAAACCCGUCCACUUUAUCCAAUCUUCCUUUGAAAAAAAUGUCAUGUAUUUGAUGUUAUUCUCAUGUUAAGUUGAAAUAAUCUUCUAUUGUUGAUGAAAGUAUGCACAAAUCUUGAGCUCAAAUCAAUUUGAAUCACCUUGGUGAGCUUUAACUUAGUAUCACCAACAUUUAUUGUGCUGUGCAUUUGGAAUGGUGAGGUUAUUUUUCCUGGUAAAUCAAAAGUGGGUUGAGUUCGAGUCGAGCCACAAAGUUAAAAGUCUAAUCAUGAAAUCUUAUUGUCACCUUACUAAUAUUCCAACUAGUUGUGUUUUAAGAAUGAUAACCUAAAAUUUGAAUAACCCAAUAAAGACAAAUAGCCACUCGUUAAUGAUAUGGUGAGUAAACAAAAAAUCAUCUCAUAUCUAAUAAAAACUUGACAUACCCUACAUUUCCAUUGAUCUUUAACUUGAUCUCAUAGCACAAUUUCACAAUUAUAUGAAAUAACACAUAUGGUCAACUGCUGGAGUAAGACUAACAUGAACAAAAGCCCCACACUUAUUUUGAGAUGAGAAUUAAUGUUAGAAUCUUACAAAGAAUCCGACAGAUGCAUGCGAUGUCGGAUGCGUAGACAACCAAGAAACUGCAAGUUAAUCUUCAUUCCUCUCUCACACUUGUAUCCAUAUAUAUAUAUAUUAGUAAUAGUUCACGUGCAAAGCACGUGAUUGUAAUAUUUUAAAAUAUAUUAUUCUUUAGAUACUAAAUUUUUUUUUAUGAAAUUUUGAUAAUCAACAUCAUAACAUAGCAUUUUUAUGUUAUUUAUUUUUUUAAACUAGUUACUUUUAAAAACUUUAUUAAAUGAAAAGAGAUAAAAAAAAUCCCAAUGUAGUUGACUCCCUUAGGAUUGAAUUUGGAAUUAUGAACCGAACACUUUUUGAUUUAUAAUUUGAACUCUAACAUAUCAAAUAUUGAUAAUAUCAUGUUUUACCAAAAUUAUUGUAUAUUCAUGAUUCUAUUGCACAAAAACCACAAUCAUUACAAUUUUUUAUAAAUGAAGAAUAUAAUUAAGUUAGAAAAAUAAACAUAUACGUAAUUUGAAUUCUUUGUAUUAUAUUAAUUAUAUUUUUAUCAAUAAUGGAGUAUAAAUGAUCCAUCACAUAAAGUUUUUUUGGCUUAUACAUUCUGACAAUUAAAAUUUGAUAGAUAGAGAUAGUUGAAGUUUUUCUAUUUUUCUUUUCUUUUAUGCAUAUUUUUAGCACAAUCCAAUGCGGAGCAAAAACAACAAGUCUACUUUUUUCAUAUGAGUACAAUAUUUUUUGUUUUAUAAUGUUUUUUCUGAUAAUCAUGCAAUUGGAAUGAGAAUUAUGGGUAAUUAACAAUUUUAAUAUUAAUUUUUUGUAUAUUGCAAUGUUAUAUUUUUUAAUUGCUGACUUUUAAUCCAUAACCGGUAUCAUUAUUAUCAAUUAUUGGAAUGCACUAAAUCUAUCUAAUUACAAUUGUCACCAUAAAUAAAAUUUACUUAAUUUUAAAGUUUUGCAUUUCAUAACCUCUUCCAUUAUUCACUAAUAUUUCAAUGCAAUAAAUAUAUGUGAUCAUUAGAAAAAUAAGGGUAUUUUGAGCAUAACCAAUAACAAUUUGGAUAUCAUUUUCAUUUUAUCAAUCCUCAUUUUAAGUUUACUCUUAUUAUAAUUCUUAUUUUAUCAUUAGAGAUGGCUUUUGAUUUGGUGGAUGGACUUGGUUUGCUCAAACCAAUACAAAUGAAGCAUUACUAUAUUAUUGUCAAUAACAAUGUUUGUCUUUCCUUGGAUAUCAAUAAUUUGGAAGUUAUCUUUGGUAUUAUUUGAAUUGUAUUCUAGUUUUUUAAUUCAUUUGCUAUUUACUUUAUGUCAUUUUAUAAAUAGUUUUCAAUUUUUUUCAGUUCUUCUUGUUUUGAUCGGUUGCUAUUAAUGAUAAUAGUGGUUUGUAUGGUGCUAUGUUAUAUUUCUUAUUUCUAGUUUAAUACUACUAUUUCAGUUAUAAAGGUGUCAUCAUUUUUUGGUGCAAUAUGAAAAAUUCUUCAUCAUUACUAUAGAAAAACUAUGAAUCUUGGUAAAAAGUGCACAAUUGUAAAAUUUGCUUGUGAUGUUUGUAUAAAGAUAUACAGAUGAAUAAGGAUUCUCUUCUCCUUAUACGUUUCUCCAUUUUCUAGAGAAUAUCUAUUUUUUGACAUUGAUUUUUCUUUUACAAUCUCAACUAAUGACUAAUAAGAAAUUUUUCAUACUUCAAUUAAGAAAUUUUGAUAUGUAUAAUAAUUGGAGAUAGAGUCUAAGGGUAGGUAAAUAGUUUUAAUUAUAAUUACCAAUACUAUUAAGAUGUAAUCAAUUGGAGGUUUUAUUUCUUUUCAUUAGUGCCACAUUAAAAUGAAAUAAUUCUAAUAAAAAGACAUAAAAAGGUAAUUGGGGAUAACAAAAACUAAGAUAAAAAAGUGCUUACACUUAUACUUCCUCGUACCAAGAUUCAUACUUUUUAUAUAGUACAGGUAAAAUACCAAAAACUCCCUGUGGUUUGACAAAUAUUCAAUUUAACUCCCUCUGACUUGAAAACCUACACUAUAACUCCCUAUGAUUUUGAUUAAAUUGAAAAUUGGACAUAAAACAUCAAAUCUAACGGUUGUGUGUGAAAUGUCAAUAUUGUCCUAGUAUACGUGAGAUGCUUUCCAUUCAAUUUUCAAUUUAGUCGAAAUCAUAGGGAGUCUUAGUAUAAUUUUUCAAAUCUGAGGGAGUUAAAUUGAAUAUUCAACAAAUCAUAGGGAAUUCAUUUAUAUAAGGGCAAUAUUGACAUUUCAUGUAUAACUGUUAGAUUAGAUGCUUUCCAUCCAAUUUCAAUUUAGUUGAAAUUACAGAGAGUUAUAGUAUAGGUUUUCAAACUAAAGGGAGUUAAAUUGAACAUUUAGCAAACCACAAGGAGUUUUUGGGUAUUUUACCCAUAUAGUAAUGAUAAUGAUAAUGAUAUAUAUAUAAAUAUAUAUAUAUAUAUUUAUGAAAUUUCAGAUAUUAAAUUGCCUGCAAUACUGACUAAGAUGAAAGAAAGCUAAAAGAAUAAAGAAGCGUUGCUGCAUUAGACGUAACAGUCAUGAAUCAUGACGGCCACUGCAAUACCACAGACAAAUCAACAAAUCGCUAGAGGAAUAAUGCAGUUAUAGAUGAAGAAAAAGAAAAGAUGAUUCUGUAAUAUUGUCCGGAAACUGGGGCAGCAUGGAAACCAAUUUUGCUUAUUCUCAAGUUUUUUCGAUUGAAUUGGACCUGGACUUAUCUUCGAUGAGUGGAGAGAUCUAAGAGAAUUAUUGAUUGGUCUUAAAGGGAUUUGCAAGUCGAUGGGGGAAUUAUAUGUUGUUUAACACUUCCGUUUGAACACUUCUUUGUCUGAAAAUGAUAUGAAUUUGUACAGUCGAUGUUAUUCAACCAUCUAUCUAGUUGUUGUUUUUGGACUUUAGGCCUACAAUAUUGUACACCAGAAAAGAAAAUUUCAUUCCAAAUAAUCAUGAAAUACUUUUCUGUCUUCAAUCAACCAAUUCAGAACAUUUCAAUCGAAUCUUAGAACUUUUCUGGUUCCCAAAACACAGGCUCUUUGUUGCUGCUAAGGUUGUCCACUUAAAAAGUUUAUUCAGGUCAUCGAUCCUUUCCAACCACGUAUCAACUUUGCACCAAAACACCCCCCCACAAAACAAAACAAAAAAAAAAACCUUUUAGCAUCAUCACUACCACUGUACUACCACCCAUGUCAAAGGUAGGAGAAAAUAAUUCUGCAUGGUCUUUGUCGGGAAAAACAGCUCUAGUUACCGGUGGAAGUCGAGGAAUUGGCCGUGCAAUUGUGGUGGAGCUAGCUCAACUUGGUGCCACAGUCCACACCUUUUCGAGAAAAGAAGCAGAUCUGAAUGAAUGCUUGCAAGAAUGGUCCUCCAAGGGAUUCAAAGUGACUGGUUCAGUCUGCGAUGCAUCUUCAAGAGAGCAAAGAAAUCAGCUCAUCGAAAAGGUCUCUUCCAUCUUCAAUGGGAAGCUCAACAUCGUUGUAAACAACGUUGGAACAACCAAAAUGAAGCCAGCUGAAGAGUUUACCUUGGAAGAAUAUGACAUGAUCAUGUCUACAAAUCUUGAAUCUUCUUUCCACUUUUCCCAACUCGCUUAUCCUCUCCUAAAAGCCACUGGGAUUGGAAACAUCGUCUUCAUUUCUUCUAUUGCUGGCUUGGUCAGUGUAGAAGGUGCAUCUGUUUAUGCAGCAACAAAAGGUGCAAUGAAUCAACUCACCAGGAAUUUGGCUUGUGAAUGGGCUAAAGAUAACAUUCGCGUAAAUUGCCUUGCACCUGGGGCUAUUAAAACCCCAUUAACGGAAUCUGUGCAGGAUUAUGAUGAAAAAUUGAAGAAAAUGGAUGCAAGAACCCCAAUGAAUCGAGCUGGAGAACCAGAAGAGGUUUCAUCCCUCGUUGCUUUCCUUUGUCUGCCAGCCGCUUCCUACAUAACCGGACAGGUUAUAGCUGUCGAUGGAGGACUGACUGCAAAUGGAAUCCAGUGGAAUUAAUCAUUAAAGGCUCUAUCUUGCUACUGAUGCAAUAGUUCACCAAGAUCUAGUGUUUAAUCUAUACGUAUUUUGUUGUAAAAGGAAGGUAUGUGCUCGGUUUUUAUAGUAAGAAAUUGAGAAUUGACUCGUAUGAAUUCUCAAUUGGUCUACUCUGCACCACUGCUAUAUUGCACAAGUAUGUAAUUGUGACUAUUCUAAUAGUAUCUCUAGCUAAUUUGCCUAUUGAUUUAUGGGUUAAUUCUAGUACUAUGUUGAUUACUCUUCACACUUUUAUCAAAAGGUAGCAUCUAAACGGCGGAGUGCUUAUCAUGAAAAGCAUACACUUGGAAGGGCAAUUGCUGAUCUCCCAGUCUGACUUCCACCUACAGAGAUCAUGGCAGCUGCAUUGUUAUUAGAGGCGGCAAAAUGGGUGAUUUGAGCGAGUUUGGGUUGGGUAAAAUGAGUAAUGGGUAUAAGUGAGUCAACCCAUUUAUAUCCAUUUAAUUAGAUGGGUAUAAAUGGGUAAGUCAAAAAAUGAGUUGGAUAAUCCAAUUAUUCUAAUUUUUUAGAAGCUCAUAUAAAUUCAUUUUGUAAACUAAAUUAUCAAUUUAUACCAUUUUACACCAUCAUUAAUUUUAACUAUACAGGAGCUCUGUAAUUACAUUUACUCGUGCAAGUGGACAAACUUGUCUAUUUGAACCUGCUUUCAAACAACUGUGCUCUCUAUGUGGGAUGCCUUCAUUGCAAAUGAAGGUGCAAAGAUCAUGGCAGAUCUUCAAAACCAUCCUGCUAUUAUUGGAAGAAGGUUGUAUGGUCCAGAAUUACAACGGUAGCUGAAACAUUCUUUUGGGACCGUUCCUGCAGGUUAUUAAUUGAUACAUGUGUUUGUUUUGACGGCUAUCAACGAGAAGCUUUCCCUUCUUCCUGUCAAAGCUUUUUUGCCAAACUGUUAAAUUUCCAAGGUUGGUUUAUUCAUUUAACUAAAUAUUUUGCAGGCCGUAUGGGUAAAAGUCUCGUUCUCUUUUGAGCGCAUAUCUUUGAAAGGUUUUGGUACAUGGCCGGUGAGAAAUGUUUUUCCGCUCUACAAGUGCCGAUCAUGGAGUUGCAUUUAUGUUAUUCAGUCCUUUUCCCCAUGCAGCGCCAAUAUCUAUCAUUUGAUCCUGGGCAUAUUUGUAAUUUACCACCGUACGCGAGUACGAGUACGAGUACGAGUACUGUGAUCUCUCCUAGUUUUAAUAAAUGCUUCCCUAAUUGGUUGGUCAACAUUUUGUAGAUUGAUUAAGGAAUCUAGUCAGAAAAAUUGGGAAUGAAGCAUAAUGUAUUAAUUUAGAUGACAUUAGAAUUUUAUGAUAAAGAAAAUUACUAAAAAAAGGAUUUCUUUUUUUCUUCUUUUAAACUCAUCUUUCACCUAUAAUUUGUAAAGUUUAUGAAAACUAUCAUAAUCUUUUCAUUGCAUCAAGGGAGAUAAGUGUAAUUUUACAAGACCUCAUGGGAGGUGACCACAAUUGUUAGAAACCUCCACGGAGGUUUCUGAAAUUAGACAUUAUUUUGAAGAUAUGAUUUGUUUCAUUGUAUUGGAUGACACUGGAUGACUAUUUUCCACAUUUUUUUUGUUUAGGUAAGUUAUCAUCUCGGAGAAGAUCCAUUUGGACUGUUGAUUGGUCCAGUUAGACUGUUGAUUGGGCUAGCCGGGGCCCAAUUUCCUACAAGUGUUGCGAAUUUUAUAUACGUGAACUUCAAUGGGCACGUCUUCGGGCCGAAACAUUGAGCUCAAAUAAAGAAUACCAGCUUAAGUUGGGAGUCUAAAAUUGCUGCAGUGUGAAGUAUUUUCAAAUAACGACAUAAAAUUCAAGAAAAGUAACAUUCAUCCACUAAAAAUAUGUUGAAAGUCUUUAGUUCAACCAACAUUACUAAUUAAAGCACAUAUGAUGUCUACCUUUCUUUUUCCAUGAUUGUUUUUUCCAUUGAAAACUGGAAUUUUGUGCUUUUUACGUUACAUGAAUUUCACCAGGUCGUAGUGUGAAGCAACUCAUAAACCAUCCUCAAAAUGAUUAUCAAAAAAGAAAUAAAUCAAUUUUCUUAACAGCUUCCCAAGUGAAAAGCUUUAAUUUGGGCACAGGUGAUCCCAAGUCCCAACAAAGUAUUGGAGUCUUGUCUGCCAGGACAAUGGAGGAGUUAGAGCUACUUCUCCCCAACAAUGGGAACAAAUUCCUCUUCUUCUCCUAAAAUAAUAUAGGAAAAUUUAAUUAAAAAAAAUAAAAUCCAAGUUUGAAACCAUAGAUUCCAAUUCUUAAGAGCCUAAGAAUGGAUAGAAUUUUUUGAUGUUAAGACCAUGGACGUAUCAGACCAAAAGCUAUUCUUAGUAUUGUCAGCCAAAGCUUUUAUCUAUCAAAUUACCAAGCUCACAAGAUGCAGAACAUGCCCGACAGAAAAUAGAAUUAAAUGGUACACAUAUAGGCAAAACACAGAAAACAAAGAACUUCAAAUUUUUUCUGGAAAGUAAACAUUUGCCUUGAUAAGGUAUAUGGUCCACUCAGCUAUUCUCCUAUUCAAAUCCAUAGACAGUCAUUCCUCCAUCUACAGCUAUAACUUGGCCGGUGAUAUAGGAAGCAGCCGGCAGACAAAGGAAAGCAACCAGGGAGGAGACUUCUUCUGGUUCUCCGGUUCGCCUCAUCGGAGUUCUUGAUUCUACCCUCUCCUCGUAUUCUUUGUCACUCAAUUUCUCUUCAACUAAUGAGGUUCUAAUAAACCAUGGCGCAACAGAAUUAACCCGAAUAUUAUCUUUAGCCCACUCACAAGCCAGAUUUUUGGUGAGUUGAUUCAUUGCACCUUUUGUCAUUGAAUAAACAGAUAAAUGGUGCACAUGUACCAGGCCUGCGACUGAGGACAUGAACACGAUGUUCCCAAUCCCAGAUGCUUUCAGAAGCGGAUAAGCGAGUUGAGAGAAAUGAUAACCAGAAUCAAGAUUUGUAGACAUAAUCAAAUUAUACUCUUCAGCAGUGAACGCUUCAGCUUGCCUGAAUACAGCUGUUCCAACGUUGUUGACGAGGAUAUUGAGCUUCCCAUUGAAGAUGGAAGAGACCUCUCCGAUGAGCUGAGUUCUUUGCUCUCUUGAAGAUGCAUCACAGACCGAACCGGUGACUUUGAAUCCCUUGGAGGACCACCCUUGCAACCGUUCAUUCAGUUCUGAUUCUUUUCUUGAAAAAGUGUGCACUUUUGCUCCCAGUCCGGCUAGUUCCUCCACGAUUGCACACCCUAUUCCUCGAGUUCCACCGGUGACCAGAGCUGUCAUUCCAGAUAGAGACCAUCUUGAACUAAUUUUUCCUACGGUACUUUCCAUGAUUGAUGGUGGGAUGAGCCUCAAGAUGUCAAAAGCCUGAUCUUGAUAUAGAGAUUUUUGGCAAAUAACUUGUUAAGAUAAUGCAACAUCCCAUUUUAUCGAGAAGGGUUAGGUUAGGUGAUAAGAUGUGAUGAACUGUAAUAGAAAGUUAUCGACUCAUGGGUUCAAGACUUUCCACUUAAAAAAAAGGGAAAAUCAUUCAGAACGUUCAUUUCUUUUUGUAAAUUAACUUUUUUCGUCCCUCACAUUUAAAAGUAUAAUUUUAUAUCCUUUAUAAAUUCACAUUGAUCAAAUUUGCUCCUUAUCUAGGUUUCUGACUAGUUUUUAAUCGGAAUCCAUCACGUGUCUUACAUGUGAUAAUUUUUUAAGAGUAAAAUUGUCAAAUCAAAUUUUACAUAAUCCGAUUCAUAGUCCCUCACAUUUCAUAAAAUGAAUUUUUUCAUCCUUCAUUGAAACAUUUCAUAGCCAACCGCAGAGUAAGCGCAUAAAAGUUGGAGAUUAGGGCGGAGUGAUCCUACUCAAUCUCAACCAUGCAUUUAAAAAUCAAUACUAAGAUCAAGUCAACCCAUUCUAACUAAGAUCUCCAAUCAACUACUCCCUCUCUGUAUUAAUAUGUUUGUCGCUUUUCAUGAAUCCAACAUUUUAAAAAUAGUGUUUUGAUUAUAAUGUUUGUAAAUUUUUUUUUAAUUUUACCUCCCAAAUUUCAAAAUUUUAAAUUUGAAUAUGAAAUGUGUAUGAAUAGAGGAAUGGGCAACAAUGACAAUAGGCUAAAAAUGAUUCUGACUUAUGUAACACGACAAACAUUUUAAAACAUUUCAAAUGUAAAACAUGACCAAUAUUUUGGUAAUUUUUUUUUUCAGAAAUAAUAACAAUUGUGUUAGGAAUUAGUAGAUAUCGAUACCUUAUUAUAUCAAAUAGAUAAAUUCAGUCAAAGACAGCUAAUUAACACUUUAUUUUAUUUAAUUGUCAAUCAAAGUUAUAUGUAUCAAAGCAAGGUUGUAUAAGACAAUAUUCUAGUCAAAUUGGAGCAAUUAACCUACUUUGACUAGUUAAUACGCAGCAAAAAUAUGCAAUAGCUCAUGAUUCCAACCUAUUCUUAAUCAUCCGACAAAGGGCGACUAGUCCUUUUCUAAGAUGACAGAAGACCAAUCAUAUACAUUCUUUUGCUAGAAGGAAGGGGCAAGUCCAAUAACUCGGCAAGAAACCAUUUUUCUUUCUUUGGGGCCAAAGACAGUAAGAAACUGUGGUUGAAAUAAGACAUGUACCACCAAGCACUGGAAGAGAGAGAGAGAGAGAGAGAGAGAGAGAAGAACUGUACAUAACAAAUAUCUAGCCUUCGACCCCAUAGACUUAAACUAGGGAUAAUUGCAGAAACCUCCCUUCAGGUUUGUAAUAGUUGCAUUCACCUCCCUCGAGAUUUUAAAAAUAGCACUAACAUCCCCUGAACUUAAGUUUUUUGAUAGCAAAUUCAGCCUAUAUCAGAGAAAAUGCCAUUAAAAAAAUCUUUUCAGAAAUAAGAUAAUAAUUUUGUUCCAUUUGUUAUCUUUUUGUCUCUUGUAAGGCUGUAUUAGUAAAAGAAUGAAAAAUAUUAAAAAAUGAAAACAAUUAGUGAAACACUUAGGGUGCAAUAGCAACAACUAGAAGAAACAAUGAGCAUACGUUCAGAAAUUUGAGAUUCUAAAGCAUAUAAAAUGUACAAACAACUCCAAAAACUCUCCUUUACUAAAGAAACUUUUUAAAUUAAAUUGAGAUGACAAUGGAUUACUUACCAAUUAUCUCCUGAUUGCUGUAAAUUUUUAACAAAAAAAUCCUUAGAUUUUGCCUUGAUUUCUGCCUUCUUUCUCCUAUCAUUUUAUGAAUACUUAAGAUAAAGUAAGAUAAACCAAAACCACUGGAACUUCUUCUUCCUUGUUUGGAGGUUGUUUUCCCCUACAUUUUUCUUGUUUCUGCUUCUCUUCUACACAAAUAAUAUAUAACUUGGACUGUCCUCUCAAGUGCUGUCAAUCACAAAAUAAUGCCAUAUCGGAGCAUCAAUUUGCGUCAUUUUGUAAAUACACUUACAAUGUUUAAUCAAAUAAGAAAUAAUAUUUAAUCUUGUUUAAUUAGUUACCCUAAACUUGUUAAUUGCCCUAAUUUUUUUUGCCCCAAAUUUGUUUACAAACAACCUUAAACUCCAAGGGUAUGUAAGUAAAUUCACCCUAUAUUGCAUUAGCUAUAAACCCCAAAUUCAUGCUAGGGAGGUAAGUGCUAUUUUCAAAAUCUCAUAGGAGAUUAAUGCAAUUGUCAAAAACCUUAGGGAAGGUUUCUGCAAUUAUCCCCUUAUACUAUAGGCUGGACCUUUGCCCGCGAUGAGAUACUUGCACACCAAUGAUUGUCAGUACUCUGUAGGUUUCACACUCAGCAUAAAAGGCUGGGGUAUUCAGCAUUUUUUGGAUUAUUAUCAUUUUACCUCCUUAACGUUCAGUGUUAUGAUUAAUUUCUCCCUUAACGUUACCUUUAAAUCACUUUACCCCCAAAACUAAUGGUCAAACUUAAUGGAGUUUGUUAAUUAAAGUGAAAAGACAUGUUUAGCCCUUAAAAUUAUUAUCACUUUACCCUCUCAUAAACUAUAGUUUCAUUAUCAAUUUACCCACUAGUGUUAUUUUUUAAGCAAUUUAUCCUACUAUUAAACCAACUUAGUAAGUUAAAAAAACUUUAGAAGAAAGUACCCUACUCUUUGUAUAAUAAAAAUAAUAAAAAAUUUAGAGUGACUCUUUUCCUUUUUAAUAUUAAGAAAAAGGUCAAAGUAAUCUCUUUCUUCUUGGCAAUCUUAUUAAUAUUGCAAAAAAAAUAGGAAGAUGGGGAAGGGGAAGGGGAGGAGGAGAGAGAGAAAGAGAGAGAGAGAGAGCUCAAUUCAUUUUUUAAACAAAUAUAAAUAAAAAAGAAUUAAAUACUUUUAUUAUUUUAAAAUUAUUUCACUUUUCUGUUUAUUAUCAAAUUUCAAUUCUAAUCUCGACAACUUUAAAGUAAUACGAUAAUGUUAGACUUUUUUUAUUUUUUUCUUUGCAAAAUCUAAUUUUUUGUCUUCUUCUUUCUUAUCUCUUUUUCUUUUCCUAGUAUUAAUAAGUGUGAAAAAAGAAAUUUGAGAAAACCUAUUUAUUUUUAUGUUUUUGGAUCUCUUAAAGUGAAAAAAAAGGAAGAAUUACAAUUUCAACUGUUUUAUAUUUAAUUAUAUAUAAAAGGGUAAAUAUAUUUAAAAAAUUUUACCAUACUAGUUAGAUUAACGAUGAGCUAAAAUGUCUAGAAAAUAAUGUUAGUAAUUUAAGCGAUUGUAUCACUAUAAUUUAAAGAGAUAAAGUGAUAAUAACAAUGUAGUAAUGCUAUAGAGUAAAAGGGUAUUUUUAUCCAAAAUUUCUUAACAUAUUGAGUUGAAUUACUUAUGGGGAUGAAGUGACUAAAAGAUAACGUUAGGGGGUAAACUGAUAGUAAUAAUAUAAUUUAAUAGGAAAAAGUGAUAAUAACCCGCAUUUUUUUCAAUUUUUAAAAUUUUUAAUUUUUUUAUAGGAAAAAAUGAUAAAUUCCACUUUGAACCCUUAAACUAUAGAUGUAUUUCACUUUAGUUCUUAAACUCUAGUUUUGAACAUUUUACUCCAUAAAGUGUUAAAUUAUACUACUUGAGUACAAUCAUUGGUGGAAUUAUCAAAAUUAAUUGAAUGAUAGGCAACUGGUGCUUGAAUUCCAGUGGCAGCAGCGGUCCCUUCGGACACAGAGGUCCCGGGAUCGAAUUUGCUCCCUGAAGAACCCUGCGACUUGCUCGAGAAAACAUUGCAUGGAGCCGCGGCAUUCCCUCUGGGUUGGUGUGCCGGCUCGGGUCCAAAGGGCUCAUGCCGGGACAUGUUCCAGGUUAAAAAAAAAAAAGUGAUGCUCGAAGUGGUAUAGAAUAUUUAGUCUGUUUUGAUGAUUUUGUUAGUGGCUAUAGUCAAGUGUGAUGGAUUUGUUACUUAAAUAGGUAAGUGUUCAAAAUUAAAAUUUAAAAACUAAAGUGAAAGUACAUGUAUCGUUUCAUGGUCAAAGUGGAAUUUACUCUAUGAAAAAAAUUCUAAAUUGAGCAUUCUUUACGAAUCCCUUAAUUUUUGAAAAGUUAUGAACCUUAAAACUCAUAUUUCAUGAUUUGAGAAGUAGCUUGUUUAAAAAUUGAUCUAAAUUACUCUUCCGUUCCAUUUCAUAAGAUGCAUUUCAUUUUUUUAAAAUAUAUAUAUUUUACUAUUUUACUACCACGAAAUGUUUAUCAUAGGUAUAUUUGUAAAACAUACUAAGACAGACAUGAUUUUUAAUAUUAGAAUUUAUUUUUUUCAGUGGUACAUUUGUUUCAUUUUCUAUUUUUAUUUUUAGUACAGGUAUAUGAUUUAGCAUAAAGUCUGGUAACCCUAAUAUACUAGUUUAGCCAACUUAUCCCCUUGUGUUGUGAAAAUGGCCAAUUUAUUCUUGUUUGAUUUGCAGCCCAUGAAAUCCUAAAUGGAGGAAUCAACCAAUUUGCAUUCUUUUUUGGUUUUUUUCUUGGUGUUUUGGUUUCCCAGGGAGUAACUUCAAAUGCCUAAAUGCUCCCUAGGAAACGUAUCCAAAGCUAGUGCGUCAGUUUCUUUUAUUUCUCCUUCAAAUCUUUUCUACAAAAUUCAACAUAAGACGAGCCUAAAUUGGGAUGCUACAAGAAAAUGUUGACCAGCAAAGUUUUAAAAACUCUUUUUUUUAAGGGAAAAAAUGUUAUAAACUUUAAGAAAAAUUCUUCCAUUUUUUUAUUGACAAAAAGUUAUUUCUUUUCGUGAACAAGAAAUUACAACGGGCAAGACUUAUGACUCUAUUUUCCAUGAAAUCUAUUGCCCACCACAAGUUAGAACAUAAUUUUCACUUGGAAGUCUGAAACCAAUUGCUUGUGCUCAUAAGGAAAUCCAAAUUCACAACUAGCAAUAACAGCAACAGACGAUUGAUCGAAAUUAAUCUUAUAGAUUAAAGACCAUAGCUCAAAAUAAAUCAGAAAUUUCAUGACCAUAGUAAGAACCCUAGCUCACAUGAAAGAAUACAUUAGCCAGGAAUUAAAGGUUUCAGAUUCCAAUCCCUCUACCCUUCUCCGUUUCUUAAUUCCCAUCCUUUCCGUGUUGGGGGAAAAAAAUAGAGAAUACAUUGGUCAGCCGAAACAUUAAAUUCACAGAUUAUAAGGGUGAAUUUCAGUUAAUUAGUCCCAUUUGCAACCAAUCACAGUUAAUCCUCCAUCAACAGCUGUAACCUGUCCAGUGAUGCAAGAAACAGCAGGGAGACAAAGGAAAGCAACCAGGGAUAUAUGAAACUUCUUCUGGUUCUCCAACUCGCCUGAACGGAGAUUUCGACUCUAUCUUCUUCAAGAGCUCUGGUUCAUUGAUCAAAUAUUCAACCAUUAAGGUUCUGACAAACCAAGGUGCAACAGAAUUGAAAGGAAUAUUAUCUUUAGCCCAUUCCCAAGCCAAAUUCUUCGUGAGGUGAUUUGUUGCAGCUUUAGUUUCUCCAUAAACUGACCAUCAUUGCAGACUUACUAUACCUGCAACAGAUGAAAUGAACAUAAUUCCAGCUCCAGAUGCUUUCAGAAGGGGAUAAGCAAGUUGGGAGAAAUGGAAACUAGGUUCUGGAUUGGUGGAAAUGUGCCAAAAAGAUUCUUGUGCUGUAUAAUCAACUGCUGGCUUCCCUAUGCAUGGUGCAACAUUGUUUACAGAAUGUUUAGCUUGCCAUUGAAGAUCAAAGAUAGCUUUUUGAUCAGCCGAAUUCUUUCCUCUCCUGAAGAUACGUCACAGAUAGAACCCGUGGCUUUGAACCCUCUUGAAGACCAUUCUUGCAAUAGUUGAUUGAGAUGUUUCAUUCCUGGAACAGUUGUGAUGGUGUAGCACCAAAGGAGCAAGUUCUUCCACGAUUGCUUGGCCUAUUCCGCGAGUACCACCUCUGACAAGAGCAGUGGUACCUGCGAGAGACCAUUUUGAAACUGUUUGCUGCCACCUUUGCCAUGGAUCAAAAUUGAUACUUUGAUCACUAACACUAACAGGGUGCCCUUAUAUCGAAACCUGCAAAGUUUAAUUAACUUUUUUAAUUGGCUACAAGUUGGGAGCCAAUAAACAGGCUGAGGUAAGGUGUGAGAAAAGGACAAAGUCUAGUGUGUGGACAUUAAUUCUUUAAAUGAUUCCGUUGGAAUUUGGAUGAUCCUUCCAUUGGAAACAGACAGAUUGACAUUUUGGUGCUUUGGCCGUUUGUUCGAUUUGGUGACUUGAGAUUCUAAAGAAUUUGUGAUAGCUGAGGGCCUGCAGCUAUGCAAAAUUAAUCUCUCGAGUUUCUUUGUGUUAAAAAAUUUCUGGAUUUUAAAGAUAGAGAAGCAUUACAUUUCACAGAACAUUACAUUUUAAGUUCAGCUGGUAGUUAAAAUUUCAUGAUAGACAAUCUGUAAGAAUCACUAUAAAUCGUCCGGUGCUCCAACUUUAAAACAGGAUUUGUCUUCGCUUUUUCUAAACUUUUUCUGACCGGAAAAAGAGAAUUUUCCUAGAUGCUACAUGUGUAUUAUUGAUUAAAAUGUCCUGUGCAGUUGUUGUUAUGUAAAAUAUGCAUUUUUGGGAAUUACAUGUCUCUUAGAAAAGUUUUAACAGUAUCAGCUGGGCACUUUUGCUUUUUCCCCUUCCCUUAUUCCCUCAACCUUUUCACUUUUCAGGUAGAUAUACAUGCUAUGAAUGGGGCAGCUAGAAAAUCACACUCCUGGACUAGGGCAAUUGCUGUUAUAAUUAAUGUACGAUCUUCUCUGAGGGGCUAAUCUUUCCCGAAAAUAUCCAUAUUUAGUCUUGUACUUUUUUUGAAAAAAUAAUAAUAUUAUUAUAAAACACAAGGAAGAGAUUUUCUUGGAUGCUACACGUAAAUUUUUGUUUCUUAUUAUUACUUAAUUUCUAAAAGUCAUCCGACAAAAUUGUCUUUAUACUUCAAUUAAAUUUAAUUACGAGCAUGAAAGGAACUUUCUUUUUCGCUUUUUUUAAGGAAACACCAUAUACCAAUAGAAAAAUAAUGGACUAAGCUACCCAUUUUGUGAUGCUCAUUAAAACUUCAUCACCAUUACAAUCUCUUAUGUUGGAAAAGAGGAUUUUGCCAAGCAAAUAUAAAAGAUGUCCACUUGAAUACUAAUUCUACUGUCAGGAAAGAAAAAAAAAAAAAAAACAAACCUGCAGCCACCCAAAAUUCUUCAAUUGAAAUUCUAAGAAUCUACACUAACGUUAUUUAUAUUUCAGUAGCUUCAUUCCAAACCUAUUUCUAUUUCUGACACGUUUGCUUCUUUAGUUGUUGUUGUUUAGUUUCCUUUUCUUUUAAAAUUAACUCCAAUCCAAUUCUAUUUUGUUUCAUAAGGAAACUUAAUCCAAUAAAUUUCUUCCCAGAAUAACACCUCAAUGCCAUCAUUGCACAAAUGCCCUAAAUAAUGUUAGAAAGGGCAUUCCAAUUUGGAGACAAAAUAUAGUCUUAACUGUUUUAUGGUAAAGAUGUAAUUGAAAAAUAAAACUAAACCAUUAAAUCAGUAAAUGAAACUUGCAUUUUACACUAGUUAUAGUAUAGGUGUAGAUUAGCAUUUUACUAAUAAAGGGAAUGUUUUUCUAAACACCUAAAUCACACAUUUGUUACCAAAUAAAUACACAAAAAAAAAAGAAAGAUAAAUACACACAGAGCAAAAUACAGCUUCUGCACAACCAACUCCAUCAAUCAUCCAUCCAGUCUCAACCCCCCAUGCUCUUAAUAUGGAAACUAUCAUCUAUACCUGCAUAAACAAACAACGGAUCCGAUACUGUCCUAUUCAAAACUCUGCUAAACGUGCUCAUCAGGUGAUCCCUUCCUCAUCAAAAGCCUGGCUGAAGAUUUUUUGAUCAAACAUCCAAUCCAAACUAAGUUCCCAAUUUUCCCUACCCGUCAAUAUGUUUCUCCAACCAUUUACCACUAGCAGGAUCACAUAAACUAUGAAUUUCAUAAGAUUUUCUGCACUCCUAGGGUUAUUAAAUGUGUAUGCGAGGUGUUUGGAAGUUUAAAACCAUAUUGCUAAAAAAUAAUCCCAGUUGAACGUUAGUAAUCCAGGCCAAUGCAAGGCAUCUAAUUGUCUUUCUCUGCUGCAGUUUUUGUAGAUGUAGAUACAUUUUUCCUGCAAGGUAUUCCCUCGGAAUUCUAUAUAAUGGGUUUGAAAACUAACUUUUCGUCCCCUGUAUAAAGACCUUUAGAAAAUUCUCAGCCUAGCUAGUAACCGAAAUAUGAUAUUAUGGUACAACUGCAAUUCAGAGUGUGAUGCUCUAAUUCCAGCAGAUGAACCAAAGUUGAUGAGUUAUGAAUAAUGUACCAAAGUAUUCCUGAUUGGUAGUGUUAUUGAUCCAGUUUUUACAUGCAAUAGGCACUCAAUUUUAUCAAAGAAAGCAUGCGAACUGAUUAAGAAGUAACUUCCUGCAAACAUCCAUGUCCAACUAUGUGUGUUCAUCCAAACUUCUUUGAAGGUUGCCCAGUAGUAGAGCCUUGAAGUUUCCCCUCUCUUUCUCUUUCAUGAACCCAUAUGAUUCAGUAUCAACAUGUUGUCCAUCAUUACUGAUUUCCUCAUGAUCCUACAUAUUAAACCUUAUCCUGCAAAUGAUGAACUUGAUUUUCUAGAUGAUUUGAGAUCACUACGGAACCAAAGCCGUGUUAGCCUACUUCUUUCACUUAAACUUACUAGUAAUAACUCAGUGCUUUGCAUGUGAAUAUAUUUUUUCAAGAUAUAAAAUCUUUAAUAUAUGAACUUUUUGUGCAAAACUUUGAUUAUUGGCAUAACAUAAACUAAGAACUAUAUAAUGAACAAAAUUAACAAUUGGUAAUUGUACAAAAUGUUUAUUGUGUACAAAGCAAUUAAAAGUUUAUUGUGCAUUCUACAAUUAUAAAAACUCUCAAGAUGGAAGAUUAUCAUAUUUAAACUAAGUUGUUGAUAUAAUAUUGAUUAAGAAACUAUAUAAUAAACAAAAUUAAGCAAUUGCUUGUUGUAGAAAACAUUUAUUAUAUACAAAGUAAUUAAAAGUUUAUUAAACUUUGAAGAUAGAAGAUUAUCAAUUUUAAACUAAGUUGUUGCAUAUUCUACUUAUAUUGUAAAAUAAGAAGAGGAUUUUCUAUGUUUUGUCAAACCAGUGUAUACAACAAAGCCUAAACAAAAUGCAUACUAAAUCAUUUAUGAUUUGGAUACAACGAAUUUUAUCAAUUUUAGUAGUCGUAAACCUUUUCUGUUAUAUUUUUAUAAUUAUCGAUAAUUUUUUUAAAGUUUUCUUAGUCAAUAUGACAUAACAUAGUGAAGUUAAUCAUCAAUUUAACCUUUUGUUUUCUCAUUAACUGUUUAUAACCUUUUGAAUUCUUAUUAAUUGUGAUUUUCUUCUAAACCGAUAUGUAUAUAAAAUAUAGUUAGCUUUAAUUAUCACACAUAAGAAUAUAAUAAUUGGAGAUAAUUUUAGCACAUACAACAAUUGGAGAUGAUGAAAAUGAUUGGUGAAUAUAGUUGUAAGUGGGCAGUUUCUAAUUGUAAUUACCAACAUUUUUUAGAUGUAAUUUAUUGAAACUUUCCAUUUUCAUAUUAGUGUCAUGAUUGAAAUGCAAUAAUUCUAAUUAAAAGGCAUGAGGGUAAUUUAGGCAUAACAAAAACUAAGAUCAAAAUAAGCUUAUACUUGUACUCCCUAUUGCCAAGACUCAUUAUGCUUUUUAUGUAGCAAUGAUAACUAUAAUGAUGAAUCCUUCUUACAAAAUGAUGAACGUAGCAGGCGGGAGGAGAGAUGGGUUGGGUGGUAUGGGAAGGGUAGUGUAAGUGAGCGGUCCUAGAUUUGAGACCUCCUACUUACACAAAAAAAAAAAAAAAAAGAAGAAGAAAAUGAACGUAGCGGGCAACAGAUGCUUGAGUCCUUGCCCGCCGUGGGAAAUACUGCAUGUUGUUCUGUUUAUUAGCUAUGCCUACCAUUCAUGCUAAUAACCUUCAGUGUAAGAGUCAGGCCCUUCAUUAAUGUAGUUUGUUUUCUUAAAAAGACUAUAAUUGAACAUCUAAAAGGUUGCUUCAUCUUCAUUUCAAGAACCCAGGGAUUAUUUGCUCCUCCUACUGGUUAAGUAAAAGCUUAAAAUGAGUAUAAAUCGAGUUCCAUGCUUUAUCACUGCUGUAGGGUUGGACUCUGUAUGCUUACCAUUUCAGAUAACUGGUCCUAUUCAAAUAUGCAUUACCAUAUAGGGAUCCAAAGAAUGAGGGAAACAUCACAUCUUUAGGUUCCUUUCACCUUCAAGCUUUCAUCAAAUUGGCAAGAUAUAUGCACUAGUAGUACUCCCUCGAAAAAAAAAACAGAAAUGACAUCACUGCAAUCUAUUUAAGAUAUUAGCAUAUAUAUCUAUUUCAAGUUAUAAUACAAACCAUCAUAGUUUACUCAGUUAUAUAUCAAACACACUAUUUGUAUUGGUUUAAAUAGCAGAUAAAACAGGCACGUUAUUCAUAUUCUGCUUCUUAUAGCUUCAAUAAGAUGUUCUCAUACUGUCCUGCCAGGUAGUCUGAUCCAAGAUCCAAUCUUUAACUUGCUUUAAAUGAUCUCCACUUGAACAACUCGAAGUUGCCGUGCUCCUUUUUGAUGAAUCCAUCAGCUUCCUGGUUGAUAUCUUCUUUUGCACGAACCUCGUCUUUGGCAUUCUUAACAACUUCAGUAGUUUUCUCACUUUCACUGAAAUGGACUUUCUUUUGUGCCUCUGGUGCCUGAUGCUUAUGAUGAUCCACUUGCUGGCGAUGAUUCCCAGAUUCUCCCUCAGAGAUGGCUUUAUUUUGGAAGGGCUGAUAGGUGGCUUUAUUUUGGAAGGCCAAGUGAACAUUUGGGUGGGGGGGGACAUCAGUUAUCACACUCGGCGUUCUUUGCAUCCGAUUAACGUGUUCAAGAUAAUCGGGGGAAGUGGUAUUCCAACCAUACUGUGGAUUGGAGUAGUAAUCAUAGCCUCUAUACAUUCUUCCUCUUGUUUUUCCUGUAUGGCCUGCAGAUGUACUGCUAGCUGAAGCUAACCAUUUAUAGAAGAAACUUGUCUGAAUGCUACAACAACAACUAAAGUUGUGGUUGCACUGUUGCAUUUGAAUCUGAUACCGCUUUUAGUCACUGUCGCUGAAAGCUAAUGUUUCAGAAAGAAGGCUCAGAAAGGAUCCCAUAAAGCCGACAUUAUUGAGGCCUAGUGGAUGCAUAUUUAUCCUAUUGAUUUUAAUUUUCCGGCGCAGAAUUUACAGUUUCAUUUGUCGACUAUAACAGAGAUCCUGAUUAAUCCUUUCUUGAACAAUUUCUGUUGUGAUUUAUACAGAUGAAACAGUGUUGUAGGAUUAUUUUACUUCACAGAGUUCCAAUAUUGUUCUACAAGAGAUUCAGCUUUAGUUUAAUGCUUGUCACAUUCUUAUCAGGUCUAGGAUUAGGACCCUGGAACCAUAUACCCCUAAGAUCAGAUAAAGAUGGAGUUCCCAUUGUAUACACGCUAUAGAACACUAUGAGAGAAUUACUUAUCACAGAAUCAGAUUACACGCUAGUAUAAGGAAUCUGAUAGAUUUUCUCUACAAUGUAUAGCAGCACUUUCCCUGUAAUAUCACCAAGAUUAUACUCUGCAAAAUAUCAAGAAGAAUAUGCCCUGUAAAUUAUCAUGAAGAAUUUAUCCUAAAAUACUGAACAUCUCUUCAAUUGAAACAGUCUUCUUUCACAUAGUUUUUGCUGAUUCAGAAUGGCAUUUCUGAGUAGCAAACUUCAAAUUAAUGCAGGUAGGCAUUAGUCACUUCUAUACAAGCCAUGUUAUAAGCUAGUAUAACCUUACCUUCCAUUUGAUCAGGGGUCCAGAAGAACAUUUAUUUUUACUUAACCAGUACAGACACCUAAUUCACGUUAUUUUUUCACCAUAGCUGUGGAAAUUAUGGAUCAUUAUGCACAAUAUUUUCCUGAACAUUUAAUGACAUCAAAUCACGAAACCAGAAAUUGACUGUAGAUUUUAUUCUGUCGUAAAGUAAAAGACAGAGAGAUGCUAAUUUGUAACUUACCAGAACUAGAAAGGCUUCUCGUUCAGUAAAAAGUCCAGUUCCCAGUUAUUUUUUUAAAAAAAAAAAAGUGUAAAAGAUCUGAAGAAACUGAACUUGUGUCCACCUUAUCACGAAAAUGGUCACGAGGAAUCCUAUAACUAUGUUUUUUUUUUCUCUGAAUAAAUUUCUGUUUAUUCGUGGAACCUUUUUCUUAGAAAAUAAAUUUGGUGUACGUGAAUUUAGAAAAAAGUAAAGAGAUAUGGGAAACAAAACCAUACAUGGCAAAAUAAUUCAUUGACUGAUUAUUUACAACUAAAAGGGAUAAAAAAAAAAAAUUACUCAGGCAGACCACAUUAAUGUAGUACAUAAUCUUUAAUAUAUUACUUUAAAUCGAACUGGACUCCUUUUUAUUAUUAGUUUAAUUGCAUAAAUAUAAACAAAAAAGGACGAACUCCAAAAGACAAUAUAUGCCAAUAUAUGGUAAAAAAAAAUUAAUUAGUUAAAUCAUGACUUGUCCUCUUGCCUUACAUGGAACACAUUCUUAUCAGUACUCAAUUUAAUUGCAUGGAUAGUCGAAAAAUCCACAAACUCCAAAAGCCAUUCCACUGAAAUUGGAAGUUCAAAUUAGGAAUAAAAGAAUCAAGACUAGAAGCUGCUUGGUGAACCCUUCUACUAACAGUAACCAUAUAAUGCGAGAUGCAGAUACAGAUGUAGAUGAAGGAUCUCAACUUAGAUAAACACAAAACUCAUCAACUUAAAUCUCUUGAGGCAUACUGCAUCAAUCUACUCGAAUCGAUUAGGUCGAAAUCCCAUCUCCACAAGAUCUUGGAGAGCUCCUCAUUACCGUUGUCUGUGACAUAUGGAGCAGAAAUCUGAGAAAGAGUAACAGAAUAUGGUAGGAUAAGCAACUGAUAAGUAUCAAGAUCAACUGAGAUAUGCAACUGAAGGACAAUUGGCAAUCUGAUAGCAUAAACGGUAAAAGGUGAAUCCUUCAUGAAAGCCAUCCAAUCUCCUAACCUCUAUAACCAUGGUUCAAUAUUGGUCCUAAGUGCAUGCCUGCCUACCAUUCUCUAACCAGAAAACAUCUUUUAGCAACAACCAUCAAAUUAUUUCUGAUAAACAUAUAAUUAGUAGAAAACCAGAGACUUAAAAAAGAAUUGAGGAAUAACCUGGCCCCUGGGCUUCUGGUGGUAGAGGACAUGAAAGGGAAGGCGUAGUAUCCAAGGAGGCGUGGACCAUGGAUGAAGCACUCAACUCAUGCAGACAGGAAUACCAUAGACUGCAGGAGGAAUGUAGCCACCUAGAGGGGCCAUAGGCUGAUAUUAACACAAUAAAGAGAUGGAAAUAUUCCUCCAAAUUAGCCAUCUUUUUAUCCAAUUCAAUCUUAUUCUGACUAGUCUGAGUUAGUCACCUUACAUAGCUAAGAUGUACAUUGGUAAUACAUAAUCAAACCUUUUCCAAAGAAAGAAUACGUAGUGAGUAAGGAGAUCAAAAUCCAACUAGAAUUUUUACUGUGCAAAUGUGUAAAAAAUAUAAACUUUCUGCCAUAACAAAAGUCAAUUUUUCAAAGUCUACUCUCAGAAGAAGGUGAAAAAACUGAUAAAAGCUAAAAACCAAAAUAAUUAACUCCGCAAGAACUUUAUAGCACGCUGGCAGUAGUAAACAGGGGACAACCCCAAAAAUCUUAUUUAUCCUUGCAUAGUGAACUAUGUUCAGCCAAAUAGUUCAGCAAUAGAAAAGAAACUUGUAGUUUUGCUUCUUUCAGAGAGAUGAGAGGAAAAAUGUAGCACAGCUGCUGUAGACAGAAUGGAAUGACUAGUGGAAAAAAAUAUUUUAGAAAAGAAAUGCUCAAAGAGGAUGGAACACUUGCAAAAACAUGCAGGACCUAUAGAAAGCAGACGAAUAUGAGGAUGAGCAACAAUAUCAAAAAGCAAGGAGUUCAAUGAUGCAUUCAGUUACCAGACUAUUACCUGUGAUCUGACUCAUCUUGCGUCAUAAAAUGCAUUCUGGCAACUGAAUUUGCAAUAUCAAUCAUACCUGGAGAAGAAAACAGUACACUAAGAAAUAAAAACACCAAAUAGAAGGUAAAUAUAGAAAUUUUAAAUUAAAAAGGUGAUGCAGGAAAAAUUGCUUUUCAGUUAGUGUCGUUUGCAUCAAUUAAUAACUGAACAAAGCAACAAAUCAAGAAAAAAAUCUGGAGAAUAAAUAAAAUCAAGUUCUUCUUGGUUCAAUUACAAUAUUCAAUCUAUAUACUCCAUCCAAAUGGACCACUUUAAGCCAUAUAGCCUUAACAUAAGUACCCCAUAAAAUCACAGAUACAAGCCAUGUCAAACAGAAACUUUAUUCAGAGCACAAGACAGGAUGUUGAACCCCAAAAAUACAAAAUUGUACCACCAAACAACUGUAAACUAACAGCAUACAAUAGGAAAGCAUAAAUCAAACCAUGCUUUCUGCUUGUAUUCGUAAAGCUACUACUUCCAAUUAGCACAAAGAAGAGGAUGGGAUUUGAUAUGCUUUUGCUUCUUGAAAGUGAAAGCAGUUGGUUAUAACAGACCAUCUGACAGAAUCUUCCAAUCUCUUGAAAGAUACUUAAAAUCAUCUCCAAGAAAUAGUAGACAAAAAGCCAGAUGGCUGAUACCACAAAUUUGUCUGUCUGCCUGUGUGUGUUUGCUUAAAGUUUCAAGUGCAAUAGCACCAGCAGUCAGAAAUUUCAUGCUACAAAAGAAAUAAGCUUGUUAUCAUAUUAAAAAAAAAUGAAAAUAAAACAUAUUCUGGCUUUCAAAAACUAUAUCUGAGAGAAAAAAACCAGGUGUGAACAUGUAGAAUUGAGAAGAAAGAUAAAUAAGAGCCAAAAAAAAAUCUGAUAAUGAUUGACAAGAAUUUUAUUCUCAUACAACUGAAUGUGCGGGUUCUAAAUCAAGCAGAAAUCAAAUACUAAAUCAGAAGGUAACUAAUCAUAGUAUUAUAUCAUAAUAAGAAAGAAAACCAACAGAAUAGAACCUGCUUCACCUGGAAGGAGCAAUAAAAUCAACAGCAAAUGAAAAAGCUCUGGGUCCACAAGCAUACAGGUGGCGGUGGAAGUAAUCUGGCGCAAUUGGAGAAAAUAAGCUUUGUUAUUGAACUGCACAAAAUCAGAUGAUGAAAUGCAAAGCCAACAAUCAGCAAUCUGGGAAAGGAUGCAGACAAAAGAAACUGAAGAAAGAGGAGGAAAAUUGAACAAGACGAGUAACCGCCAUUUCACUGUCCACCUCUUCCUCAAUACAAAAUGUAUCACUUAGUUUAUUAAGUUAUAUUCGCCAGGGUGAUGAGGAAGAAGCGGCCACACAACAGAACCGCCAUUCAUCAUCCACCAAAACCUGGUAAAGGGGGCCAUGAUGGCACCAUGCUCUAAAUUCACAUAGUGAAUGAGACUGCUGUCUACCCAGGUACCUCAUCCCAACCUAAAGGCCAAUGUUCGUGAUAGAGGAUUCACCAGAGUAUGGUGGUGCAUGGUGGCAUCAGUUGAAAAAUGAAGUUUACAGCAGUUAAUACAAUGAAAUCAAAAUAAAAAACCCUCACCAUAAUCGCAACCCUGCCUUCCUUCCCCUUCCCAUCCCAUUUCCCCCUGCCAAUGAGUAAAUUCCAGAAAAGUGGGACAUUUUGAAAAAAAAAAAAAAUUCCCAGAAGGUGAAAAACUCAUUCACUAAAUGAAUGUUUCUAUAAAAGAUGCAUUGACAGAAUGCGUUCUUUAUUGUCUAGCAUUUAUUUCUUAAACAACACAUCCAGUGAAUUCAUUUUUUUAAGAAAAUACAUAUUUCGAAUACAUUUUUUCAAAACUCACCAUUUGGGAACUUCUUUCAAAAACCACCACAUUUUGAUAUUGACUCCCGCCCACCCUUCCCAACCCCCAUCUCCCCCCCCCCAACCCCCUAAAUAAUGACAAUCAGGACUCUGAUAAAGAUACGUAUUUGGUCAUACAUCCCAUGAAAUAAAAUGGGUAGCAACAGGUUCGGCAUAAUUUUAUUCCUUAUCAUUUUCAUACCACAAUUUUUCCAUAGGUGCACAGCUUGCAAUCUUCUUACCUCCAGGCACAGAAACAGAGAUUACCUGCAGAUCUUACUUUUUAUCUGACAGCUAUGUCAGCCAAAUAAAUUGUCCUUAGAUUUUUUCCCAUAGCCACUGCCAAAAAAUAUGAUCAUAGGAAAUAACCCUAAAGUUCUUUCUUGACUGGACCAGACAGCAGUGAAGCUAUUGAACAUAGGGUGAGUCAAUUCUUAGAUGUAAUUGAGAGAAUGGAUACUUGUUAAUGGUGCAUAGAACAAGAUUUCAACCUGAACUCCUGAAGACUGCCAAGCCUUUCUGAAACACAUUCCUGGCUGGCAGUAGCAUCAGUAUCUGACAAUUCAGGUUGACCACAUCAUAUUCCCGAGGAAAAUGGGAAAGCAUUGAUACCCUGCAAUUUAAUAAACUCAAAAAGUGAGCCGUCUUCUUGCUAUCACCACGUAUUUAUAACAGGAGGAGCAGUCAUUGACUAUAAAUUGACAAAGUUCCCACUUGGACUACAUUUAGUGGACUAGCAAACCUUUUUCUUCCCACCAACAUCAAUCUGACAUGUAGCAGCUCACUCAGGAUUCAAGCAUCAGUAAUGGAACUUUAAAUGUAUAUAUCAAUUACAGUAUGAUAUGAAUAUGAAAAUGAAAGAGUAUAAGAAAAUCUAACUAUCAGCAUAAAAUAAAUGUUCAAACAAUGAAGUUAGCUCAAUGAACUCUAUUCUUGCCAAAUCUUUUGAAAGUCUCAAGUUUUUUAAAGUUUUGACUUUUUGUUAACCACCGAAGAAGAAAAUGUGAGGAUCAGAUAUGUAGAAAAUACAUAUAACUUUCAGAAAUCCUUUUAGAGCUCUAAUAGCAUAAUCACCAGGCAAUAUAAUAGAUAAAAUAGCAUCAUUCACUUACUUUUAACCUUUUUCUUCAGAAGCCACAGCUGACAUUCAUAUUCCUGGAGGAAAACGCGCAGCCUGUGGUGGUCAAUCAUUCAAAUAUUUCCCCUGGGAAGUGGUUGAAACACAAUCCACAACCUUGAUCCACUUGGCUUCGUGCAGCAAAUCUACUCUAUUUCACUCACUUUUUUAUCUCCAAAAAUGCCCACUUCUUCAGCACUCUGACUUUUUAUCCACCGGCCUGCCUAAUUUGGACAACUCUCUUGCUAAACUUGUACGUGUCUGGUAAGAAAAAGUGCAAUUCUUGACAUCCAUUGCAUGAAGAAACUUCAUGGAAGUGUCUGCUUCCCCCUCCUUGAUUAGCCCAUCUAUUAAUAUGGACCAGACAAUCUCAUCAUUGUUCCAUUGUUUCUCAAGCAUGCUUUCAAAUAAAGCCUCAGCCUCUUUAGCCCGGCUUAGUUUGCAUAAAGUGCAGAUAAGUGCUCUGUAAAUUGAUAGAGGGGGCUCAAAACCACUGAUGAUCAGUGAGUUAAAUAUAUCUAGAGCAGAAUUAACUCUCAAGUUCCUGCAAUAAGAGCCUAUGAGAGAGCAAAGUAUUGCACUGUUAGGAGUCAAGCCUUUCCCUUUCAUAUGUUUAACCAAAUGUUCUGCCUCAUAACUUUUGCCUUCUCUACAUAGUCCAACAACUAAGGUAGUAUAUGUGCUGAGACCAGGUUCGCACCCAUAUUCUGACAUCCUAUCCAAGAGACUAUACAAAUUUUCAAUUCUCAAAUCUUUCUCAACUGAACUACGUGUGCAAACUGUUUGAUGUUGGGUUGCAACUUUUUCCUCAAGUAACUGGCACUCCUUUUGUAAACCUUUGACCAGCACAUUGUAGGUUCCAUAAUUUGGCUGGUAGCCUGCACUAAUCAUCUGGAAAAGAAGCAAAAAUGCAUGGUUUAGCCUACCCACCCUUACAAACCCAUCAAUUAUUGACGUAUAAAUCACCACGUCAGGUGCCAAUCCUUUUCUCUCCAUUUCCCUAAGCAAUAAUUCAGCCUCAUCAUUCUGACCUGCCAAGCAUAAGCCAUGGAUGAGCGAACUGUAAGUGUACAAAUUUGGCAAGCAAUCUCUUUUUCCCAUUUCAUGAAAUAUCUUUAAAGCAAGGUCUGUCCUCCGUCUUUUGCAGAGUCCAUCAAUUAAUGUUGAGUAGGUAAUUACAUUGGGCAAUAGCCCACUUUCGAGCAGUUUAUCAUGGAGUUUUUUUGCUUCAGAGAGCAUACCCCUCUUAGACAAGCCAUUUAAAACUGCAUUAUAAGUUUCAAUGGCCGGAUUACAACCACUGUCCUGCAUCCUUUUCAACAAAGCCAAUGCAGCAUCUACUUUCCCAUCUUUACAAAGGCCAUCUAUCAAAGUGGUGUAGUUAACUUGGUUUGGACUCAAAUCUUGCCUAAUCAUAUCCUCGAAAAGACUUGAAGCUAAGUCAAACUUUCGCCCUUUGCACAACCCAGAAACAAGAAUCGCAUAAGUCCAUUCAUCUGGCUGACAUCCAUUCCCUUUCAUAAUAUCAAACAACCUCAGAGCAUUGUUCAGGGAAUGCUGUUGGAGAUAUCCAUUAAUCAAAGUAUUGUAUGUUACUCUCUUUGGAGGUGGACCGACCCUCAACAUCUGUUGAAAUAGGACCAUUGAUCUCUCCAUAUUUCCGACCAUACAAAAUCCCUUUAUAGCUGCAUUGAAGGUCUCUGUAUUUGGUGAAUAACCAUGUCCCUCCAACCAGCGAAAAAUAUUUAAAGCAGUUUCCAGUUUGCCUGCUUCACAGAAUCCACUGAUCAGUGCAUUAUAAGUGACCACGGUUGGGACCAGGCCUUCCUUCAGCAUCCUGUGGUACAAUCCUAUUGCCAACUCAAGUUGACCAACUACAGCCAACCCACUAAUAAGGGCUGUAUAAUUUUGUGCAUUCGGCUUACAACCCCUUUUCAUCAUGGUAGACAUAAGACCAAUAGCGUCCUUGGCACGUCCAACAUCACAUAAUGUAUUAAGGGGAACUGUAUACGUGUAUACAGUAGGUUCAACACCUUUCUCAAUCAUUUCGUCAAGCAUGUCCAAUGCCUCAUCAACCCUCCCCUCGUCGCAGAGCCCAUUAAUUAGGGUCGAAUAAGUAACCGAAUUCGGAUCAAUUCCAUCCUUUAACAUCCUAUCAAAAACCUCAUACGCCUUGUCCAACUUCCUAUUCCGACAGUGGCCAAGAAUCAAAGACGUAUAAGUGAAUACAUCAGGGGAAAAUUCACACUGAUAAAUCCUACACAAAACCAACUCUGCCUCCUGAACUUUUCCCUUCUUACAAAAAAUAUUAAUCAUAGUAUUAAAAGUCAAUAGACUUGGUACAAUUUCACUACUCAAAAUUUCAUUAUACACAUUUUGAGCUGCCUCAACCAUAUCAAACUUACCUAACUGAAUCAACAAAGUAUUAAAACUAUACAAACUAUACGGAAAACCCUCUUUGCUGAUUUCAUUCAAAAAUCCCAAAACCCAUUUCAUCUCUUCCUCAUUCCUGCAAGCUUUAAUCAUCAAAAUCCUAACAUGAUCAGCAGGCGCAAAACUUUUAUCAAAAAGAAGCCUAUUCAACAUUGCCACAUAACAGUUCACAUCGUGUUUGUAGAAUUGCCUCUUAGAAACCCAGUAAAAGAAUUGCAACACAGACUCACUGCUUAUUUUGUAAUUAUCUAUAAUCUUAGCCACGUGAUGGGGCUUGAUUUUGGGGCUCAAAGCCUUGAGCUGAGAGCUUUUCUGCCAUGGCAAGGACUUAUUGGACAAAAUAUCACAAAUUGUGAACACCAAGCUUGGAUGAUGUGGCUGCCUUUCCGAUAAUGCUGGAGAAAGAUUUAAUUUUGACGAGAAAUAACGAGAACCCAGAUGGGGAAAUUGCCUAAAAAGAUCGAUAUUCUUGAGGUGGAUGAGAUUUGGAAGACACUGGCAAUUGAGGGGCUUAAUAACCAUUUCUUGAUAUGAUGCUGAUGAAAGGGCUCAUGGGUUCAUCCGCUUCACCUGCUGCUUAUUAUAGUUGCUGAAGCGAUGAUUCUUAUGGUGAAAAGUUGGCAGAUUGAGGCGUUUGAAUAAGAUGGAGCCAUGGAGGCGGAAGGGAAGAAGGCGUGUGGUUUCUGAGACCACAAAUUGCUCAGUGUGGGUGCGAGUAUUGAGUCAUUUUAAAAUAGUAGUAUUGGCUGAUUCCCUAAAUGGUAGUCUAACUUUUUUUAAUAUUUAAAAAAUAUCUUAAAAAAUAUUUUAAAAAUUCUACUACUCUUAAAUAUUUUAAAAUAUUUUCUAAAAAUAUCUCAAAAUAUACUUUAAAAACUCUAUUAAAGUAAAAUUUUUCAAAAAUUUUUCCAAAAAUAGCUAAUUUAAACGGAGCCAUAUAUUGACAAAAAAACAUUUAUAACCCUCAAAAAAAAAAGAAAAUACAGUUAUAUGGAGUAAUAUUUUUAUUGGAGAUAUAAGUUUUAUAUAGAGCAAAUUUUUGGGCAACAUUCAGAAUCUUUGAACAUAGGCUUCAAGUGCGUACCAGUUGGUUGACUGGAUUCGAAUUGAGUUCAAGUAAUUUGAAGUUUUUAUAUAUAAAUUUUAAAUUUUAUAUUAAUUGAGUCAAACUUUAAUCUAAGUUUGAUAUUUUGCCGAAUACAAAAUUGUACUCAUAGUUAACUUAAUUAGUCAGUGAACGAAACUUAAACACUAAUCAAGUUUGAUUCGAGGUUAAUCUGUGUUGCAAUUCUGCCUGAAUAAUCUAUCUAUUAAUAUAUAAAAAAAAUGAAACAUAUGUUUUUUAAGUACUUCUUGUUCUUUCAAUUAUCAUAUUAUUCAAUGCAUCUUACGAAGUGCUAAACCAUUCAAUAAAGUGCCCAAGUUUUAUUGUGAAAAUUAGGCUUAAAUGAAAUAGCAGAAAACUAAAACACAAGCUGGAUUUUGGAACACAAGAGGUGAUUGCCCCUUAACAGUUUUGUGGAAAUCAGCCUGAAAGAAAGCACUUUUGAGAAACCUGAAAGAAAGCUAGAAAACCUUUUACAGCAAACUUUGUAUUACUACGUAGGCCAUAAAACUGAGGGAAAAAGGAGCUUUAUAAGUUGACAUCCUCUUGCAUUUAGAGCCUACUGUCUGAAUAUAUCAAUCGAACCCUCCACUCCAUUGCCAAAACUCUCACGUAGAGAUUUGUACAAUUUCCAACUUUCCAACCCCAAUUAACCAAAAAAAGAAAAUACCAAUGGCGUUUACACUUCCAGAUUUUCCCGCCAAAACCAUAGCUACCAAAACUACCACCAUUUUACAAGUUCCAGACAAUCCCAAAACCUUAAUUCUUGAAAAAUGCAGGACUACUAGGGAUCUCAACCAAGUCCAUGCCCACCUGAUCAAGACCCGCCUCCUUCACAACCCAAAUGUAGCCAAUCCCCUUCUAGAAUCAGCCGCACUUCUCCUCCCAAAUCCCUCUAUCAACUAUGCGCUUAACAUCUUUAAUGAUCUCGAAAAACCCGACUCAGCGGCCUACAAUGCCAUGAUCAGGGGCUUGACGUUGAAACAAUCUUCUAAUGAGGCCAUCCUUUUUUUCAGGCAAAUGAUCGAACACUUAGUGAAACCUGAUAAAUUUAGUUUCUCUAGUGUCUUGAAGGCCUGUUCCAGGCUUAAAGCUUUGAUGGAAGGUCAACAGAUUCAUGCCCAGAUUUUCAAAUGUCAGUGGAGUUGCAAGCAUGAAGAGCUUGUCAACAAUGCGUUGGUUUAUAUGUAUGCCAGUUGCGGUGAGAUGGUGCUUGCGCGUCGGGUGUUUGAUGGUAUGAGUGAGAGAAGCACGAUCACGUGGAAUUCGAUGUUUUCUGGGUAUGUUAAAAGUGGAUUCUGGGAAGAAGUUACACGGUUGUUUAGGGAAAUGUUGGAUAUGGAAGUUCAGUUUGAUGGGGUUACACUGAUUAGCGUUUUGACUGCCUGCAGGAAGUUGGGGGACUUGGAAUUGGGACAGUGGAUAGAUGACUAUGUAGAAGUAAAUGGACUAAUGGGAAAUGCUAAUUUAGUUACCUCACUUUUUGACAUGUACGCAAAGUGCGGUUGUGUGGAUGCAGCCAGGAGAUUAUUUGAUAGGAUGCCUCGAAAGGAUGUUGUCGCAUGGAGUGCCAUGAUUGCUGGCUAUAGCCAGGCAAAUCGAGGCAAGGAUGCACUUUCUCUGUUCCAUGAGAUGCAAAAGGCCAAUGUGGAACCAAAUGAGGUUACUAUGGUUACUGUGCUUUCGUCCUGUGCUCUUCUUGGAGCUUUAGAAACUGGAAAAUGGGUACAUUCCUAUAUUAAGAAAAAGAAGUGGAAGCUCACUGUCACUCUUGGGACUGCAUUAGUGGAUUUCUAUGCCAAGUGUGGUUGUGUUGAUAGUGCAGUUGAAGUGUUCCAAGAGAUGCCUUCAACAAAUGUAUUGUCAUGGACAGCGCUAAUUCAAGGUCUUGCUAGUAAUGGACAAGGGAUAAGGGCUCUGGAGUACUACAGUUUGAUGCAGCAACAGAACAUUGCACCAAAUGAUGUCACAUUCAUUGGUGUUCUGUGUGCCUGUAGUCAUGCAGGCUUAGUUGAUCAGGGUUGGGCUUUCUUUACAAGUAUGACUAGAGAUUUUGGCUUUGAACCGAGGAUUGAACACUGUGGUUGCAUGGUUGAUAUUCUUGGUCGGGCAGGAAGGAUUGAAGAAGCCUACAACUUUAUCAAAAGCAUGACUACCAAGCCCAAUGCUGUAGUAUGGAGGACAUUGUUGGCUUCAUGUAGAUUUCAUAAGAAUGUUGAAAUUGCUGAGGAAUCACUGAAGCAAGUUGUGAGAUUGGAGCCUGCGCAUGCUGGUGAUUACAUACUUCUUUCCAAUGUCUAUGCUUCAGUUGGUAGAUUGGAAGAUGCUUUAAGGGUAAGGAGUCAGAUGAAAGAAAUUGGAGUAAAGAAAAGUCCUGGAUGUAGCUUGAUUGAACUAGAUGGGGUCAUUCACGAGUUUUUGGCUGAAGACAGUUUACAUCCUGAUUUAGAGGAUAUUUACACGGCAAUAGAUCACAUCAUGAAGCGGAUAAAAUUGGCAGGGUAUGUUCCAAACACGGCUGAGGGGAGGUUAGAUGCAGAGGAAGAUGGUAAGGAAGCUUCCAUAUCUCACCAUAGCGAAAAGCUGGCCAUUGCUUUUGGCCUUCUUAAAACUACUCCUGGGGCUACGAUUAGAAUAUCCAAGAAUCUUAGGAUAUGUACAGAUUGUCAUAAUGCAGCAAAAUUGAUAUCAACAGUUUUCGAUAGAGUACUUGUCAUUAGGGACAGGAACCGUUUCCACCAUUUUGCAGGGGGGACAUGUUCCUGCAAUGAUUUUUGGUAGGAUAUUUAACAAACAGGGACUCAAAUCGAUCCUUUUAUGGAGAGAUUAAGCCAGUAGAUUUAGUACAGUGACAACUUUCUUCUUAACUUUUUUUUCCUUCCCUCCUCUUGUUUGUGCAUUGUGGAAAACUGUGCAGAAAAGCAGAACAGCACAAGAAAAAGUGAUUCUGAAACUUGAAUUGCAAAGCAAAAUAGAGUAUCUUUCUGAAAACUUUGCACGAGUUUGUGCUUCUAAGCUUUCUGAGAAUUUCAUCUUCUAAAGAUUUAUGAGUUAGAGCUCCUGAAGAUUUACAUGGACACUCGACCUUUGUGAUGAGAAUGGAAGUCCAUUUACUUCCAUGUAUGAAUUUACAUGUACCAUCGAUUAAAUUCAGGUAGUAUAACUGACUAGGUUCAGGUAGAGCAUGAAUUCUUUUUUUUUUUCCUUUCUUCAAUUGUGAGACCAGAGGCAGUUGAUUGAUUAGCGUCAGGCAUCGUUUGAAUCUUUUGUUUAUUGCUUCAAUUCUGAGGCCAGCAGUUUUUUUUUGCAUUUAUCAAUUUGCUGGUCAUAACUGAAAGUUGCAUUCACGUGGUUUGCUUGUUCUGGUGUUGAUGCCUUUCAUUUAGAAUUAAGGGCUGUAAAUUUUUUUAAUAUAAGUAAGCGAGCUUAGUGGUUUGUGGUUAGUUAUGAUUGUGAUAGAUGUUGAUGAAAGCUUAGUUUUGGUGGUUUUGUGAAGUGAUUUUCUUGUUCUGCUCUUCAUGUUUUCCUGUUUAUAAUUAAGGGCUAUAUUUAGCACAAGUAAUUGAGGUUACUCGUUUCUGUUCAGUUGUGAUUGUGAUAAAUAUUCAUGAAACCUUAGGCCUGGUGCUUUUGUAAGGUGAACUCCUUGCUCUACUUCUGCAUUGAUCUUAUUUUGUCUGCUGCACUGCUGUUUUCUUGCCACAUGUAGAUUGCCUCUGGCUGUUAAAUCUGUUCAUUUGAAACGAGAUUCUGUGUGCGAGGUUCAGUAUAGACUAUUGGUGUUAAAUUUGUUGAUCUGUCAUUAGAAAAGCAAUUGGAUUUAUUUGUCUGAAUCAGAGGGCAAGCUUCCGUUCAAAUCUGAUUUGCAGAGGUAGUAGUGGAUGUACAUGGGUUAUAGUUAAAACGCCUGAUUGCUCCUUUUUCCUGGAGUCUGCUUGAGUUGUGACAUAAAAGCUACCUUCCAUAAUCCUGGGGGAAAAGAAACAUGCGAAAGGAUGUUUGUUGCAUCCAUCAAGAUCAAUGUGUAGGUUUUGUUUCCAAUAAAACAAUUUUCCAUCCCAGUGCCUUGAACGAGUAAGCCACUCCUUCUGGAAGUCAUUGUUCAGUGCUUGUAUUCAUCUUGUAGUUUCUCUGAGAUUGGGAUAGCCCAUUAAUCUUGUACUAGAUUGUACAAAACCUCUUUAACCAUUUUAUCAGAGCCUGGCAAAGGACUGUAACUUAUGACUAUCUUAGCAAUGCGUGCUUCAACUUGCUUUUCAUUUCCUUAGGACUGAGUUCAUGUGAUACAAAUGGUUUAUGUUUCAGAUUAUAUUAGCUGGAAACAUUCAUCCUUAUUCAUUACUAAUUGAGCUGCAUAAUUGAUUGAUACAAAUUGUUGUUAAUGUCUCAAUUUGUUAUUAAGGUGAUAAGGUAAAAUAUGCUACACAUUGCAUGUUUGAAAAAUUACUAAAAGAAACAACACCCAUCAGGAUAAUAAUUUCGACUAUAAUUUACUAAAGGCAUAUUUUUUUACUAUACUACAAAUAAUUCUCAAUUUAUUGAUUUUUUUUAUUAUGUAGAAAAGUGAUUGAUGAGUGUUCUUUUCAAAUUAUUGGCACCGCCAAUGUAUUUAUUCACAAUAGCUUUCAGAAGGCUUUUUACUUGUUUACAGUUAUUUCAUUCUUGCCUGUAUACAGAUAGCAUGAGCAUAUUUUUAAGUGUUUAAUAUCCACCAUAUUUCUUGAGCCAUUCAUUGACUAUGUGCAAAAAAAGAUCUUGAGCCAUUCAUUGACCAUGUGGACAAAUUACAAACCAAAUGAGUGAAUGAAUAAGCAGGUAUCCAAAUCGCCUAAAAUCAAAUGUCCCACGGUUACUAACACCUAUCAUGUAUCAAGUAUUUAAGCAUUUUACACUAAAUUACUUCCCUUCAUUGAUCCUUGAUUAACACAGAUAUUCCCUGCGCGCUAUUUAAAAAAAAAAACAAAAAGAAUAGUGUGAUAAAGUGCACAAUAAACUUGAAUAAUUACAAGUUACAGAUAAACAUCCAGAACAGAAGCACUUCAUAGUAGUUCAUAAUAUGUAUAUAUAUAAACUAAUUAGCAGCAACAAGCAGGUUUUACAGAGCCACAGAAAACCAAAUAAAAGGACCAAUAUUCAAACAACUAAGUUCAAAACAACACCAAAGGAGACGCUACGACAAUAUUUAUUUAUCCAUAACAUGCCUCGUCCUCAAGCUGACUAGAAUCACUUCUCUCCAGCAAUAAGGUCCAUGACUACACGCUUGAUGCUUCCAUUGUUCUUCUGCA
Molecule: long non-coding RNA, 36207 nt
Filed under: Coffea arabica (coffee)
Lineage: Eukaryota; Viridiplantae; Streptophyta; Magnoliopsida; Gentianales; Rubiaceae
Description: long non-coding RNA (CARA_LNC003146)
Source: RNAcentral